AUAAUCUUUAAUGUGUUUAAAAUAAAAGAUGCUUCUUUUGUUACGGGACCUGUUGAAAUAGUGGUGGAAUUUCGUCAAGAAUUUCAAACAAUGGAUGUGAUAUCCAUUGUUAAAAAUGAGUUGCCAAAUGAAGUUAAGGAGAUUUGAAUUGAGAGAAUACAGGAACAAGGUUAUAGUGUCUUAAAGACAAUAAUAAGGUAAUAAAGAUAAAAGAGAUUUUCUCUAUAACUAUGUUUCAUCUCUCCUUUGUCUUUCCUUAUUUUUAUUUUUUGUGAGAAUGAAUACUUUGAUUUUAGUAUAAAAACUUUACUCACUCAAUUUUCACUUAAUACAUGUAGUCUCAUUUUCAACCCGA
Molecule: long non-coding RNA, 355 nt
Organism: Impatiens glandulifera
Lineage: Eukaryota; Viridiplantae; Streptophyta; Magnoliopsida; Ericales; Balsaminaceae
Exons: 2
Source: RefSeq, a predicted model, not a curated record